This 713-nucleotide ribosomal RNA is filed under the name uncultured Actinomycetes bacterium. RNAcentral's name for it is "bacterial SSU rRNA". It matches the Rfam family "Bacterial small subunit ribosomal RNA", at positions 61 to 790 of the family's 1533-position model. The record is from RNAcentral. Lineage: Bacteria; Bacillati; Actinomycetota; Actinomycetes.
GUCGAGCGAUGAAGCACCUUCGGGUGUGAAUUAGCGGCGAACGGGUGAGGAACACGUGAAGAAUCUGCCUUCAACUCUGGGAUAACUCCGGGAAACCGGGGCUAAUACCGGAUAUGAGCCUUGAUCGCAUGAUCGGGGCUGGAAAGUUUUUCGGUUGAAGAUGACUUCGCGGCCUAUCAGCUUGUUGGUGAGGUAAUGGCUCACCAAGGCGACGACGGGUAGCCGGCCUGAGAGGGCGACCGGCCACACUGGGACUGAGACACGGCCCAGACUCCUACGGGAGGCAGCAGUGGGGAAUAUUGGGCAAUGGAGGAAACUCUGACCCAGCGACGCCGCGUGAGGGAUGAAGGCCUUCGGGUUGUAAACCUCUUUCAGUAGGGAAGAAGCGAAAGUGACGGUACCUACAGAAGAAGCACCGGCUAACUAUGUGCCAGCAGCCGCGGUAAUACAUAGGGUGCAAGCGUUGUCCGGAAUUAUUGGGCGUAAAGAGCUCGUAGGUGGUUCGAUACGUCGGAUGUGAAAAUCAGGGGCUCAACCCCUGACCUGCAUCCGAUACGGUCGAGCUAGAGUUUGGUAGGGGAGACUGGAAUUCCUGGUGUAGCGGUGGAAUGCGCAGAUAUCAGGAGGAACACCGAUGGCGAAGGCAGGUCUCUGGGCCAAUACUGACACUGAGGAGCGAAAGCGUGGGGAGCGAACAGGAUUAGAUACCCUGG